GAUGAACGCUAGCGGCAGGCCUAAUACAUGCAAGCCGAACGGCAAGAUUGAUAGCAAUAUUGAUCCUAGAGUGGCGUAAGGGUGCGUAACACGUAUGCAAUCUACCCUCAACAGGAGGAUAGCUCCCCGAAAGGGGAAUUAAGACUCCAUAAGAUCAUUUGGUGGCAUCAUUGAAUGAUUAAACUUCCAGGGGUUGAGGAUGAGCAUGCGCCNGAUUAGUUAGUUGGCGGGGUAAGGGCCCACCAAGACGAUGAUCAGUAGGGGAACUGAGAGGUUGAUCCCCCACACUGGCACU
This 295-nucleotide ribosomal RNA is filed under the name uncultured bacterium. RNAcentral describes it as "partial 16S ribosomal RNA". It matches the Rfam family "Bacterial small subunit ribosomal RNA", at positions 28 to 320 of the family's 1533-position model. The record is from RNAcentral.